Molecule: ribosomal RNA, 433 nt
Filed under: uncultured bacterium
Lineage: Bacteria
Description: partial 16S ribosomal RNA
Rfam family: Bacterial small subunit ribosomal RNA
Source: RNAcentral
AGCGAACGCUGGCGGCAGGCCUAACACAUGCAAGUCGAACGAACUCUUCGGAGUUAGUGGCGGACGGGUGAGUAACACGUGGGAACGUGCCUUUUGGUUCGGAAUAACUCAGGGAAACUUGUGCUAAUACCGAAUGUGCCCUUCGGGGGAAAGAUUUAUCGCCAUUUGAGCGGCCCGCGUCUGAUUAGCUAGUUGGUGAGGUAACGGCUCACCAAGGCGACGAUCAGUAGCUGGUCUGAGAGGAUGACCAGCCACACUGGGACUGAGACACGGCCCAGACUUCUACGGGAUGCAGCAGUGGGGAAUAUUGCGCAAUGGGCGGAAGCCUGACGCAGCCAUGCCGCGUGAAUGAUGAAGGUCUUAGGAUUGUAAAAUUCUUUCACCGGGGACGAUAAUGACGGUACCCGGAGAAGAAGCCCCGGCUAACUUCGUG